This is a long non-coding RNA of Tachysurus fulvidraco (yellow catfish), 3025 nucleotides long. RefSeq lists it as uncharacterized. Lineage: Eukaryota; Metazoa; Chordata; Actinopteri; Siluriformes; Bagridae. The record is from RefSeq and is a predicted model, not a curated record. The transcript is spliced from 2 exons.
GUCCUUCAUCUCACGAAAGCGUAGACUUGACUUUUUUUGUUAUUAUUAUUAUUAUUAUUUUUAUCUGCUUUGUGCAUGGACGCAGAAAGUGACAGCGAUGGAUUUAAUUCAUCUUAACACCUGUCACUUCAAGACAACUUCUCAUAACGUAUUCAUCUGCUUUUUCUUUUUUUCCUUUUUUUUUCAAUCCCUGUCUGAUGAUGUCACUCCUCUCAGAGGAUUUGAUGAUUUCCGAAGGCCCCUGACGUACUGUAGAUCACAGAGGAAGCCUGCUCAGCAGAAAUGAUUUAUGAAUCAAUUUUACAAGUUCCACUCACGCUUGCCAAAUGACUGCCUCCGCUCAAUAAACUAGAGCAGAUUUUUCAUUGUUUUCAUCGACGGCUUCUUUGUGGUAUGUGUUUUGGAAUUUUGCAAUUCUGUUUUACUGAACAAAUGUCGGUCCAGGUCAUGAUACCGUGAUAUGUUUAUUUGUUACAAGAGUGUGAGUUGGAAUUUCAGCAAUUUUCUCUUAAAUGAACAAAUCAAACGAAUCUCACCAUAUGCUGUGUAAAUAUGUGUAUAAUGUUUUUUUUUCCACUGAAUAUAGUCCAACUAGGUCUAGAAUGAGUAAUGACAGCAUUUCACACCGCAUUUACUGAACCUAUAAUCAGCUAAUGGCACAGUGCAGUAAAACUGAAAUCAAAUAGAAAGGAUUCAUGGUCCAUUUUAGGGAGACCAAAGCCUUUGUUACUCUAUUAUAGCAGUUCGUAAGUGCACCAUUAAAAGACAUCUGCAUGUGUAUAUAAGCCUUUUGAGCCUAAUCUUAGCUGGUAGAUAGACACUUUGUAAAUGUUGUGCUAGAUGAAUUGCCAUUAAUAUUUGUUUUAUAUGUUAGUCAACAACUUAGAUACGUGUGUUUUUGUUGCUAAACCCUAUCUAGGCUUUAUUAGACUCUCAGACAAUUAUAUAGAACAUUAAAGGCAUUAAGUGCUCUACUGAACUUAGAGAUACAAGCGCUCGCUCUGUUAACUCAUUUCUCUCAUGAAACAACAUUGUUUUCUGUAAAAGGGCUCACUGCCAUUAAUUCACCUCUGUGGACAUCAGGACAUGAAGACAUUUGGACAAUGCGUCAUCCAGCAAAGGUCACACAUUCCAUCUUAUGAAAUAUUUGGACUAUUUGACAUAUUGUCUGACAAGGCAAAUUUCUUACCCAAAAUAUAAACCGAAAAUAAUUUAUUCAUGAAAACUGUACAUUUUAGGUGAAUAGAUGUUCUGAAUGUCCUUCUAUCACUUGUAUUGUAAAACUUGUAUUUAUUUUUCUUUACACAUUUAGUGCAUGUACUAAUUCUAUACCCUUUCUCUAACUGUUACUCAUUUAGAAACAAAAUACAACCAAAGUUCCUUGAUUAUCCAGCUGAAUAUGAACCGAUAUAUAUUUAGAGAAGAAAUCUGGUAGUUGUGGAACUCUGUUGGAAAACUGUUUCUUGCUUGUGCCUUUUUUUCACUUCACCCAUUAAUUCACACCUAAUAAAACCUUUCUGUGAUUUGGCAAUAGAUUUGGGGCUUUCGGGUGAUUUUAGAUCGAUCGAUCGAUCUAUCUAUCGAUCGAUCUAUCUAUCUAUCUAUCUAUCUAUCUAUCUAUCUAUCUAUCUAUCUAUCUAUCUAUCUAUCUAUCUAUCUUUGUGCAAGAAUCAUUUGUCAACAUAGCCUUAGAAUACCAUCAUGUGCUAUGUCUGCUACAUAUCCAGCAAUAACUAAUAGCGAUCCAUGCCAGGAAUCUCCUAGUAAGCGACAUAGAGAAGAAACAACACCACCACUAUCCCACGAGCUCUGCACUCAAAGCUAGAACUGAAGAAUUGCUAUUCCAGUACACAUGAAAGCUAAUUUCCCUGCCACGUCCGACAGCACACGCCGGAAGGCAGAGUAUUGUACAGAAUUGUUUCUGAAUACACUUUCAAAUGUGCUAGCCUUGACAGUUAGGGCUGUUUUGGCAAAUUAUUUGUUUGCUAAUGAAUAUUUGUACUCAAAUCACACUUUUGCCACUUUUGUCAUUAUCACUCCCUGCUGCUACUUUUUCAUUUCCAGUGUCUGGGAGUCAAGCCAAUAGCACACUAAUGUUCAUUAGACAAGUGAUGUUCCGCCAUUGUCCUGCUGUCACCUACAUUUUCAGAUCACUCUCCACAUCUUCAUGAAACCUCAUAUUUCAUUGUUGUUGUUUUUUUUCUUUACCUUUAAAUUUUGGAUAGCGUAAACCGUAGCUUUUGCUGAACUUAGGUUACAAGUACAAAUCAGUAACAAAAUUUCAAGUAGAUUUGUGUUUUGGUGACCAAAAAACAUUUCCCAUUUAUUAGUAUAGAAGAAGCACUUCAUUUUACUACAUGAAGUGGAAAAUAUUUAUCAAAAUGACUUAUAGAUUAUAAAAGUACUUACUAAUUACUUGUGACCUAAUUUACUUUACUUAAAGUGUAUUUAGACAUGCUAAUAUUUUAAAAAGAAUAUUUGCAAAUUAAUGUAAUUCUUCAAUUAUUCCAAUACUUAUUUGACCAGUCGAUUGCUUUAAGACUACACAUAAAGUCUGGCGUACCUAAAGAGUACUUUAAAAUGUGGCAUUGAUAUUUAAAGGUGUCUGUAUUAUUCAUUAAGCUUUGUUAGUUUAGCAAAUUAAAUGAUAUUUGGUGUUUUAAGUGAACCUGUGUAAAAAUUUGAUGAAAAUUAUGUGUCUUUGAUUGAGUGUUUAUUACAGUUUAAUGUAGAAAAUGUUUGAAUGGAAAGCAAGAUUAAUGAGAUUUAAUGCAGCAUUUUGAGUCCCGAGUUUGUACGAGUGGGUUUUGCUAUGAAACAUUUUUGUUUCGUCUGUGCAUUUCUUCUAAUGAUGAUUGAUGAUUGGUAGACCUCUAAAAGCGGUGGAGUCUUAUAAUCAAUUACCAGUCACAGAACACUUCAUGAACCUGACUGACAUCUCAAACCUAAAUCGGAAUCGUUCACAACCUGCUGUAUCGGUGUCAUUUGUAAAUAUUGUAUAUAAACAAUAGUUUUAAAGCAUAAA